AUUUAUAGUCUUUGUCUUUCAGAUAAAACCUGAAACAAAAAUAGAACACGGAAAAAAAAUAUUUUUACGAUGUAAUCCUAAUUAUGAAAUACCAACAGAAGAAUGGUAUCAAGGAGAUGUAGAAAUUACCUGCAAUUCUGGCAAUUUUGAACCAAAACCUGCUUGUCAUCCAGCUCGAUGUAGGAGCCCACCUCCCAUUAAUGGAAAAGGAAGACCUUUGGAAAAUUAUGAAAAUGAGCAUCGAAGUAUUGUUGUAUAUGUCAAUGCAUGUUCGAAAUCAGACAUUAUUUUACAGAAUAAAACGGCAAGAUGCAACUUUGGAAAGUGGCAAGUUCAAGAAGCAAGAUGUAGAAAUACUCGUUGCCAUCCUUACACUUUAAGUCGAAUUGCUGGUUUAUUUAUUAAAGAUUCAAGAUAUUAUGAAUCAGGAGAAUUUCUUGAUGUUCUUUGUAAAGAAGGAUAUGAAAAAUAUAUCAACAAAAUUGCUUGUAAAAAUGGCACUUGGGAAAUUAAAUCUUUACCAUGCAAACC
Long non-coding RNA from Centruroides sculpturatus (bark scorpion), 531 nucleotides. RefSeq lists it as uncharacterized. Lineage: Eukaryota; Metazoa; Arthropoda; Arachnida; Scorpiones; Buthidae. The transcript is spliced from 3 exons. The record is from RefSeq and is a predicted model, not a curated record.